RNAcentral lists this ribosomal RNA (160 nucleotides) under uncultured Pseudomonadota bacterium. RNAcentral describes it as "uncultured proteobacterium partial 16S ribosomal RNA". It matches the Rfam family "Bacterial small subunit ribosomal RNA", at positions 366 to 540 of the family's 1533-position model. Lineage: Bacteria; Pseudomonadati; Pseudomonadota. The record is from RNAcentral.
GCGCAAUCUCAAAGGCCUGAUUCCGCAUCGCCGCGUGAGGGAAGAAGGCCUUCGGGUCGUAAACCUCUGUCGGAGGGGACGAAGGACUGACGGUACCCUCCAAGGAAGCCUCGGGUAACCACGUGCCCACACCGCGGUAAUAACGUGCCAGCAGCCGCGG